UCCCGGCACGGGGAGGUAGUGACAAAAAAUAACGAUACGGGACUCUAUUGAGGCCCCGUAAUCGGAAUGAGUACACUUUAAAUCCUUUAACAAGGAUCCAUUGGAGGGCAAGUCUGGUGCCAGCAGCCGCGGUAAUUCCAGCUCCAAUAGCGUAUAUUAAAGUUGUUGCGGUUAAAAAGCUCGUAGUUGGUUCUGCGUGCCGCGCUGUCGGUUCGCCGCCUGUCGGUGUAACUGGCAUGUCGCGGCAUGUCCUGUCGGUGGUGAACGGGAUUCCCGGUGCUUCAUCGUCUUAACAGUCGGUGUUUGUGCUGUGCGAAGUUCGUUUGCCGAUCUCUCCUACUCCGGUGCUCUUAAACGAGUGUCGAGGUAGGCCGACACGUUCACUUUGAACAAAUUAGAGUGCUUAAAGCAGGCUGAAAUAUCUGCCUGAAUAGUGGUGCAUGGAAUGAUAAAAUAGGACCUCGGUUCUAUUUUGUUGGUUUUAGGAAUGUGAGGUAAUGAUCAAUGUGGACUGGCGGGGGCAUUCGUAUUGCGACGUUAGAGGUGAAAUUCUUGGAUCGUCGCAAGACGCACUAAAGCGAAAGCAUUUGCCAAGUAUGUCUUAAUUGAUCAAGAACGAAAGUUAGAGGUUCGAAGGCGAUCAGAUACCGCCCUAGUUCUAACCAUAAACGAUGUCAGCCAGCGAUCCGCCGAUGUUCCAUUAAUGACUCGGCGGGGAGCUUCCACCCGGGAAACCAAAGCUUCUGGGUUCCGGGGGAAGUAUGGUUGCAAAGCUGAAACUUAAAGGAAUUGACGGAAGGGCACCACCAGGAGUGGAGCCUGCGGCUUAAUUUGACUCACG
This 841-nucleotide ribosomal RNA is filed under the name Lisarda schweinfurthi. RNAcentral's name for it is "SSU rRNA". It matches the Rfam family "Eukaryotic small subunit ribosomal RNA", at positions 449 to 1207 of the family's 1831-position model. Lineage: Eukaryota; Metazoa; Arthropoda; Insecta; Hemiptera; Reduviidae. The record is from RNAcentral.